UGGGGAAUAUUGCGCAAUGGGGGGAACCCUGACGCAGCCAUGCCGCGUGAAUGAAGAAGGCCUUAGGGUUGUAAAGUUCUUUCGGUAUUGAGGAAGGUUGAUGUGUUAAUAGCACAUCAAAUUGACGUUAAAUACAGAAGAAGCACCGGCUAACUCCGUGCCAGCAGCCGCGGUAAUACGGAGGGUGCGAGCGUUAAUCGGAAUAACUGGGCGUAAAAGGCACGCAGGCGGUUAUUUAAGUGAGGUGUGAAAGCCCCGGGCUUAACCUGGGAAUUGCAUUUCAGACUGGGUAACUAGAGUACUUUAGGGAGGGGUAGAAUUCCACGUGUAGCGGUGAAAUGCGUAGAGAUGUGGAGGAAUACCGAAGGCGAAGGCAGCCCCUUGGGAAUGUACUGACGCUCAUGUGCGAAAGCGUGGGGAGCAAACAGGAUUAGAUACCCUGGUAGUCCACGCUGUAAACGCUGUCGAUUUGGGGGUUGGGGUUUAACUCUGGCGCCCGUAGCUAACGUGAUAAAUCGACCGCCUGGGGAGUACGGCCGCAAGGUUA
This 547-nucleotide ribosomal RNA is filed under the name uncultured bacterium. Its description in RNAcentral is "bacterial SSU rRNA". It matches the Rfam family "Bacterial small subunit ribosomal RNA", at positions 355 to 896 of the family's 1533-position model. The record is from RNAcentral.